CUUUUGGUCGCGGUGGAGGAGGGAGACGG
This 29-nucleotide non-coding RNA is filed under the name Cricetulus griseus (Chinese hamster). Lineage: Eukaryota; Metazoa; Chordata; Mammalia; Rodentia; Cricetidae. The record is from RNAcentral.